This is a long non-coding RNA of Austrofundulus limnaeus, 840 nucleotides long. RefSeq lists it as uncharacterized. The transcript has 3 exons. NCBI's taxonomy places the organism in Eukaryota, Metazoa, Chordata, Actinopteri, Cyprinodontiformes, Rivulidae. The record is from RefSeq and is a predicted model, not a curated record.
UCAAGAUUUUAUUCAUUUAAAAGAAACAAAACAAAAAAUCCAUUAAAAAACUAAAUAUAUCAAACAUUGAAUGAUAUAGGUGCAGAAUGUUAUGAUUAUGCACAUUAUUUCACAGUCUGCCCCUGCCUGCUCUUGUUUUCUAUCCCUCCUGUCAUAUCAUGCAAUCAGCUCAUUCACAUCACCUGCGUCCUCCACCUCUGCUCAUUGCCAGAUUCUCAUCAGCCUUACAUGUGAUUAUCCAGCGUUCUGUCCCCGUGCCUCGUUCUUGUCCUGUGUCCUCAACCUCGUUCAUGUCCUCUGGUUUUUUGACUCCUGCCUCUGGUCCUCUUGGUUUUGUCCUGCCAUCUGCUCCCACGGUAACGACGCUUCUUUUGGUUUUUUGGCUCACGUCUCUGCUUUCUCCCCUGAACGGCACUUCACUCCUUCGGACUUCUGGAAAAUGACCCACACCUGUCCCACGGAAACAAGAACCUUGCCUCCUCCUUCAAAAUCAGAUUUGCACUUCGGAUUCUUGUGUAUGACCCUUGCCUGUCCAACGACCCAGUCUCAGUCUCUCAGAUCCCACCCAAAAAAAAAAAAAAAAAACACAAACAGUGACGUCAUCGACUCGCUCCGGAAUCAAAACAACUCAGUGUUUCUUCAUGGACUCAUUCAGCGAAUAACAGAACUGUCAUGAAAUCAGAGGCAAUGUCACGAUUAGGCAGGAAAGAGGAACAAAUACUCAGGAGACAGAAUUAAGGAGGACUGGACUGUUUUAUCCAACACUUUAAAAGACAGAAGUAGAACCAGAAUCCGUAACGGGAGGACCAGAGAGGUGAGGCAGAGCGGCAGGUGAGUUGA